UAAGGAGGAUGCGAGCGUCAUCCGGAUUUAUUGGGUUUAAAGGGUGCGCAGGCGGGCUGUUAAGCCGGCGGUAAAAAUUCGGGGCUCAACCCCGUCCGGCCGUUGAAACUGGGGGCCUUGAGUGGGCGAGAAGAAGGCGGAAUGCGUGGUGUAGCGGUGAAAUGCAUAGAUAUCACGCAGAACCCCGAUUGCGAAGGCAGCAUACCGGCGCCCGACUGACGCUGAAGCACGAAAGCGUGGGUAUCGAACAGG
Molecule: ribosomal RNA, 252 nt
Filed under: uncultured Bacteroidales bacterium
Lineage: Bacteria; Pseudomonadati; Bacteroidota; Bacteroidia; Bacteroidales
Description: partial 16S ribosomal RNA
Rfam family: Bacterial small subunit ribosomal RNA
Source: RNAcentral